This 1317-nucleotide long non-coding RNA is filed under the name Nicotiana benthamiana. RNAcentral's name for it is "long non-coding RNA (NBEN_LNC034212)". Lineage: Eukaryota; Viridiplantae; Streptophyta; Magnoliopsida; Solanales; Solanaceae. The record is from RNAcentral.
CUUUCUGACUUGAUUCACUAUUGAGUUUGAAUCUUUAAUUCCUUGAUUCACUAUGUGUUAGUUGAUUUUAUUCUUACCUUAUUUACCUGAAACGCAUAUUUGAAGAACUUCUAUUAUGUAUUUACCCUUUAUUGCACAAUGUGUUACUGAUUUACUUUCCUUAAAUAAAACCUUGCCCUUUACUAUUCAAGGUCGAAUUCUUAAUAAAAGGAAUUCCCUUCUCCUGAUUGCUUCUGAUUGAUCCUGAAUUAUUUCCUUGCCUUAUUCCCUGCCUGCUUUCAAACAAUAAAUACCUUACUCCUUUUCUUUAAAACACACGAACAACUGAGUUCAAAAACACACACACACUCAAAGCUCUCUUCUCUGCAUUCUACUGAGCAUUCUACACUGCCUGGUCUUAUACAUUUGGAGUUUCUUGAGUUUGUUCCUGUUUAUUUCUGGUUGUCUGUUUGCUGCUAUUAGUCCGCUAUCCUAGAUUUAUAAUUUGUAUGCCCUUCUAUGUUCAAUAAGUAUUCUAAUUCAAUUUCUCUGCUUCUACCCCCUUUCUUUGUGUGUUCAUUUAUGCUUUCCUGCAUUAUUUAAUUACUUUUAAGCAUGUUAAUCCCUUUCCCAUAUUCCCUUUGUAUGUGAGUUUGUCCUAAAUCAUAACAGCAUUAUGAAUUGUUGUAUGUGAUUCAGGACUAGACUCUUUUGAUUCUCUACUCGAUUGUUUUCCCAUUCCCUUUCCCCCAAUGUGUUGAGGUAACUUGGGUCUGUUGAUGUCCUGAUCAUCAUUCAGGCCUGAGUUUGACUCUUUAAGAGUCUGCUCUUAUUUGCCUAAAUCUGAGUAGGAGGUUAGGGUGUGCCAUUCUAUGACGUGACUAGGUAUGACCACCUCCUGCUGAGUUGUACCCCCCUAUGGUAAGCCAUGCUGGGGACCCUAGAGUUCCCUCUGAACUUGGAUGCCUAAGGGCUGGUAAUUCCACACAUUGCACUACUUUGUUACAGCAUUCAAUCUUUCGAGAGUAAGCAUUGCCUGGGCUCUUGAAGAGCCUUGGAACUUUGAAAUACUCUAAGAGAAGGCCUUGGAAUCUGGAAUCCUGAUUUGGUGAAACACAUGUGUUGGAUGUUGAAGGUCGCAUUGAGCCUCCUCGGGUCUGACUUUAGUUUUGAUGUACUAUUUCAGUCUUUUUCUUUCCAGUUUUGUAAUAACUAUAUAAUAAAAAUUGGGAAAAAUAUUAGUAAAGGGUGUGGGUAGAGUUUAUGCUGCCUGCAUAAGUCAAAGGGUAGACAUCCUGCCUAUAGGUCUUUUAUGCUUUGAAUUAUCUAGAAAUCAUG